AGCAGCCGCGGUAAUUCCGGCUCCAAUAGCGUAUAUUAAAGUUGCUGCAGUUAAAAAGCUCGUAGUUGAAUUUCGGGACUAAUAUGUCGGUCGUGCCUCGGUACGUACUGGCUUAUUGGUUUCUCCUUUCUGAAGAACCAUGAUGUCAUUUAUUUGGUGUCGUGGGGAAUCAGGACUGUUACUUUGAAAAAAUUAGAGUGUUUAAAGCAGGCUCACGCUUGAAUACAUUAGCAUGGAAUAAUGAAAUAGGACGUUUGAUUCUAUUUUGUUGGUUUCUAGGAUCGACGUAAUGAUUAAUAGGGAUAGUUGGGGGCAUUAGUAUUCAAUUGUCAGAGGCGAAAUUCUUGGAUUUAUUGAAGACUAACUACUGCGAAAGCAUUUGCCAAGGAUGUUUUCAUUAAUCAAGAACGAAAGUUAGGGGAUCGAAGACGAUCAGAUACCGUCGUAGUCUUAACCAUAAAACUAUGCCGACUAGGGAUCGGAUGAUGUUAAUUUUUUAAUGACUCAUUCGGCGCC
This 516-nucleotide ribosomal RNA is filed under the name uncultured Glomus. RNAcentral describes it as "SSU rRNA". It matches the Rfam family "Eukaryotic small subunit ribosomal RNA", at positions 569 to 1087 of the family's 1831-position model. Lineage: Eukaryota; Fungi; Glomeromycota; Glomeromycetes; Glomerales; Glomeraceae. The record is from RNAcentral.